RNAcentral lists this ribosomal RNA (428 nucleotides) under uncultured bacterium. RNAcentral's name for it is "bacterial SSU rRNA". It matches the Rfam family "Bacterial small subunit ribosomal RNA", at positions 354 to 796 of the family's 1533-position model. The record is from RNAcentral.
GUGGGGAAUUUUCCGCAAUGGGGGCAACCCUGACGGAGCAAGACCGCGUGGGGGAGGAAGGUCUGUGGAUUGUAAACCCCUUUUGACUGGGAAGAACACAAUGACGGUACCAGUCGAAUCAGCCUCGGCUAACUCCGUGCCAGCAGCCGCGGUAAUACGGAGGAGGCAAGCGUUAUCCGGAUUUAUUGGGCGUAAAGCGUCCGCAGGUGGUUGGUCAAGUCUGCUGUCAAAGCGCGAAGCUUAACUUCGUAAGGGCAGUGGAAACUGAUGAACUUGAGGGUGAUAGGGGCAGAGGGAAUUCCUAGUGUAGCGGUGAAAUGCGUAGAGAUUAGGAAGAACACCGGUGGCGAAAGCGCUCUGCUGGGUCACACCUGACACUGAGGGACGAAAGCUAGGGGAGCGAAAGGGAUUAGAAACCCUUGUAGUCC